CGAAAGUCUGACCGAGCAACGCCGCGUGAGUGAAGAAGGUUUUCGGAUCGUAAAACUCUGUUGGUAGAGAAGAACGUUGGUGAGAGUGGAAAGCUCAUCAAGUGACGGUAACUACCCAGAAAGGGACGGCUAACUACGUGCCAGCAGCCGCGGUAAU
Molecule: ribosomal RNA, 157 nt
Filed under: uncultured Lactococcus sp.
Lineage: Bacteria; Bacillati; Bacillota; Bacilli; Lactobacillales; Streptococcaceae
Description: partial 16S ribosomal RNA
Rfam family: Bacterial small subunit ribosomal RNA
Source: RNAcentral